Molecule: ribosomal RNA, 465 nt
Filed under: uncultured bacterium
Lineage: Bacteria
Description: partial 16S ribosomal RNA
Rfam family: Bacterial small subunit ribosomal RNA
Source: RNAcentral
GACGAACGCUGGCGGCGUGCUUAACACAUGCAAGUCGUACGGUAAGGCCCUUUCGGGGGUACUCGAGUGGUGAACGGGUGCGUAACACGUGAGUAACCUUCCCACAACUUUGGGACAACGCUAGGAAACUGGUGCUAAUACUGGUUAUGUGCCCCUGCUGCAUGGUGGGGGUUGGAUAGCUCCGGCGGUUGUGGAUGGACUCGCGGCCUAUCAGCUUGUUGGUGGGGUAGUGGCCUACCAAGGCGGCGGCGGGUAGCCGGCCUGCGGGGGUGACCGGCCACAUUGGGACUGAGGGACGGCCGAGAUUGCGAAGGGAGGCAGAAGGGGGGAAGAUUGAACGAGGGGCGCCAGCCUGGUGCAGCAGCGCCGCGUGCGGGAUGACGGCCUUAGGGGUGUAAACCGCUUUCAGAAGGAACGAAGCUUUUUGUGACGGUACCUGCAGAAAAAGCACCGGCUAACUACGUG